CAGGAAGACAAGAAAAAGAAGGAAGGUGCUCAGAAAAAGGCUGCUGAUCAAAAAACCAAAGGUAAGUUUAUUUUAUUUGGGGGCACAUUUUAUGGCAGCACUAAACUUUUUAUGAAGAUGACUUUUUCCCUAAUUGAUGGUUGGAGACAAAGACUAGCCCUGCCUUUGAGUCUGCCUUUUGUCGUUCUCUGUGAAGUGCUUCCUGUCGCUGGUUUUGCAUCUGCAUCUCAUUGGCAUUUGUGUAACCUGAACGCCUGAAGAAUGUCACAGUAGCUUUCUAAACAAUGCUUUAUAAUUUUCCUUUGGUUUAAUUUCCACCACAUCAGGAUUAAACUGAUAAACUGCUUCAGUUCGAUUAAUAACAACCAAAGGAUAUGGAAUUCUUUUAAAGCUUCCAGUUUCUCUUUGCCAACUAUUUAUGACAAAAAAAAUACAUUCUUUAUUCCCUCUUUGCUUACUGAUAUGUAAGAUUUCUCUUUACCCUCCAAGUCCAGCAUUUGCUCACCACUGUCUUCGUGGGUGUUGGUGGAAACACGCGUGAUGCUCACGGUGGCUCAGGCACCCCUAUGAUUUGCUGAGCGAAACGGAAGCGCCCUCCAAGCCUCUUCAUUUUGUACUUGACCUGGGUAGGGACUGUCCAGUGGGGAAGAGCACAUCCUUAGGAGGCUCGUGCACCAGCUCUGUUUAAUUUGGGGCACUUGACUUCCCUCCUUUAAGCCUGAGGCAUCUCAUAUCUCAAUGGGAAAGGCAGUGACCGAAGGGUGCUCGCCUCUAAUGCUGUUGUACAGACUGAGUGGGAUCUCCCCAGAAGGGGGCUCAGUGCCUCGCACAGAGUUGGUGCUCGCUCGAGGUUUUUAUUUCUGCUGGACCGUCACGUGAACACAGCUGCACACACAGGCACGUGCACUGUGGAGACUUCUGUGAGCUCGAGCUUGGGCGGAACCACUACCCAUACUUGACUUUUGUUUGGCAUUUUAUGGUUUCAAAGUAAAGUUUAUGUUCAUCUCAUUUGAACUUUAUAGCUGAGCAAGGCAGGUGUUAGUUUACGAUGAGGAAACUGAGACCGAGAGCGUGAGUUAGUGUGAGGAUGGGACGUGAGGGGCCCGGCUCCUGACCCAGUGCAGCAGGCCUCAGAGCUCCUUACCCGAGGGCCGCACCAAGAGGUGGCGCUCAUGGAAAGUGACUGUUAAAGGGCAGCCUAGUUGUCAGAAAGGAUGUACUUUCUCUUGCACUCUCAGAAGCAGUGUGAAUUCACAGUGCACUUUCACCAGGGUCCAGAGGGCUGUAGUAUAUGGUUGCAUUGGAAUUUAUGACCUUGAAUCAGAAACGAUGACUUCUUUUAAUUGUAUUUUAAAAGUACAGAAUUAUUGCCCUGAAUCUUCCAUUUCCUCCUUUUUUUUAACAUUUUGAGAAGUUUUUACAACGUGAUUCGGUACCAGCUAUAUUCCAUCAUCGUCGUCACUGUAAUUGUUUUCUCUUCGGAUGGUAACGAGUUACUGAGGUCAUGUGCUGGUCGUGAAUUACAUUUCCACGCUCUCCAGUAAUCCUGUCUGUUACUCUUCUGAUGAGUGUUUUCAUUGCUGACUCCAAACUCUGCUUGGCUUUACCUUCUCCCAUCCUUCCUAAAGCACCACCCCUUGGGUACAAUCUGUCAGCAACCGUACUCACUCUAACUGGCCUCAGGACAGACCGUAGUAAUGAUUAGCAAUAUCCUUCUAAACAAAAAUGCUUUUUGGGAUUAUAAUAAUCUAACAGAGCUGCUAUAUAAUUCAUUAGUUCAUGGUUUUCUCAGGCUCUCCAUUACCACAGUUCACAUGAACGGGAACUGCCCACAGGCCUUGGUUCCGAACUGACUGGACGCGCGUGGGCACCACCGACUGGCCUGUGUGCACAUGAGCUGCAUCAUGGGGCAGUGCCAGGCUCAUGCACAUUGUGGGCUUACUUUUCCCUAGCCUGUAGCACUUGAACAUGCUUUCCUGCUUGGUCUGUGCGGCAGGCCCUGCCCUCUCCAUCAGCUCCCAGCACUGUGCACAGCCAGUGGGCCUGAGAUUGGCACCCUCCCUGACUGGCUGCCUUCAUGCCAGUCUCCAUAGGGAGUUAACUAUGCUUAAAACAUUUUUAUACCUGCUGUAACCACUGAACUUGAACAUGACUUUUAAAAGGCUAAUGCAGAACUAAAUCUCGCUGGAAAUUUGUGAUGAGCUUAAUCUUAUAUACAGCAUGCUUCCCAUUCCCCCCUCUCCCCCAAACCUUACAAAUAAAGCAAAAUUUUACCUCUCAUCGUUUUUUCAAAUCCCAACGUGUGAUUUCUUUGGUGAGGUCAUUUUCUUGCUUUAAGGUUCAGGCCAGUUGAAAAGUCGUUUGAAACCCUGGGCUCCUGGCACUCCCAUCCAGCAUUCUGCCCUGCUCUCAGGUGGAAACCGUGUUCUCUCUGCAGCCACUGACAUUCUGGGUCUGAUUCAGAGGUUUGCACCCAAACAGUGGUUUCACUCACACCUCUCCCAAUUCUCUCUCCUGUGUCCCCCGAAGAUGCAAGUCCUGGUGGGGUGAGGCCCUGCACUCCUGCCCAGAACCCUCAUCCUUCGUGGUCUCCCAACCUCGGGGUAGUGGCUGCGGUCACCUCUUCCUUACUCUCCUCCUUUGAUGAGAAAUGUAAGUGAUGAGUCUCAGUGACAAGGACGGGCAGUUACGCUCCCAUCAGACCCCUCCGUCCUGAGACACUUAGCAGUUAGAAGUUAGAUGCGGCUCAUGGAUACGUACACACAUACAGAUUUUAAAGAACUCUGCUGCUUCCCCACUUAACACUCCCCACCUCCUGCCCCUCAAGGACCUGCGUUAAGCAAUUUGGAAGCCUCUGAAUGAGCCUAUUUACAAACAUAAUUGUCCUUUGUGAAUUCUGCUCAACAUUGUGUUUAUACUGGUGACUCAAGAAAGAGGCUGCCGAACACAGUUACCUGCUAUGCCUAGUGAGACCCUAGCUGCCCUCAUGCUAGGAAGGGGCUCGGGUAGAGUCCUGUUGCGGGUACUGUGAUGGUGCGUUGCACCUGUGCUGUGAGCCACGUGUGUCUGUCUGGCUUCAGUAAUCAGU
Miniopterus natalensis is the source of this 3088-nucleotide non-coding RNA. Lineage: Eukaryota; Metazoa; Chordata; Mammalia; Chiroptera; Miniopteridae. The record is from RefSeq and is a predicted model, not a curated record.